Rana temporaria (common frog) is the source of this 3068-nucleotide long non-coding RNA. RefSeq lists it as uncharacterized. NCBI's taxonomy places the organism in Eukaryota, Metazoa, Chordata, Amphibia, Anura, Ranidae. The transcript is spliced from 2 exons. The record is from RefSeq and is a predicted model, not a curated record.
CGGAUUAUCAGACAAAAACCCUGCCAUCACACAAUUGUUGUCGGGGGGGAUCUGAUCGUGUGUACGGGCCUAAAGAGUAGCGGCGUACAUACCUCUCAGGCAGAUGGUGAAAUCUUCAUUCUUUUGUACAGCUGCUAUCUACAUGUGUCAAAUUGCAUGUCCCCUGCUAGGUGCAAUGGUUCUUCCGUUUGGGCCAAUACCGGUAUGUCUUUACUGUGCGUAAUGUCACACCUGGUGGGGACUCGGGCAUCCCAGUUGGAAACCUCGAAUGACUGCAGUACAUGCAGCUCUACAAGCUUUUUGCUAUAUGAGCAAUAUUUUACCUACCUCCUGCUGAACUCCUAUAUAUUCAGCUUCCCAAUUAUGUACUUCUAUUUGGAUUUUUUAUUAUAUAUAAAAUGUGACUGUCUCUUUAAGACAUGCAUUUUUGUGCUGAUGUUACAUUCGCUAAGGCAGUCCAUUGUUAAGUAAACUGUCAAAACCUCAAUGCGUAUUUUAAUGUACAUGCACAAUUUUAUAGGGCACAGAUCGUUCACUUUGUUGUGGGGAGCUAAAAAGCAAGUGCAUUAUGCUCUGUUUACUAGGUGGAUUGGGUCACCAUUCAAAAUUAUUAGCCCUGUACUUCUGUGCAUUACCACAACACACGUGUGAAUGGGCUCCUAAUGUGUAAAGAGAAAGGUCUUGGUUGAUGCUGAUUGUUAGAGAAAAGGCAAACGAGAUCAAUGACUUUUCUUUACAAAAGUAGAAACUUGUUUGUUCAGUGUAACCAGAUUUCAAACCUUUUGUGAAACUAAAAAAAAAAAAAUAUUUUUGUAGAGCACUUUUUUUUUUUUUUUUUUAUAACUCUGCCCCUAAGAAGUAUAAUUAUUGAUCACUCCAAAAUCCAGUAUUUAUUGUGCAGAUUUGUCCUCUUACUACACUCACUGAAAAGCGAAGAUUUUCUAUAAAGGGCUGAGAUUACAAUGUAGAGGGCACAGAAUGUUAAUCGGAAGAGCCUUUUAUAAAAUACUAGCUAGCAGGUAAACACCUAGAAGUACUUGCAGUAGCCUCUGACCCCUGAGGAGCAAAGCUUCAGCAUUUUCUUAUAGUGUCAAGUUUCAUACUUUCACAUACAAUUGUAAUUAUUUUCUAUCAAAUUUUAAUUAAUUUUAUAAAUCCAUGACACUGAUUUAAAUAAGUGAAAAAAAUACUAAAAUAUAUAUAUUAGUAUAAAAAGGUAAUACAUGACUAUUUGCACAUGUGUUGUCACAUCAAUUUCAAGAAUAAUUUUAUAUUCUGCACUAACAAGUAUUGGUUGGGAUUUUCUGUUGAAAACGGCACUCCGUGGUAGAAUUUUCCUUGGUUCUUAUGAUUAUAAGUUGGCUGCAAUGGAAGAUACUAAAUUGCUAUUUCGGGUUCUGCUCAACCCUAUCUUCUAGUUCUGUUGGCAUAUGAAAGUCAAGACUACUUGCAUUUCAGUGUAGGUAGAACAUCUAGGUGCUGAAUUGUGAUUUUGAGUCCUCAAUAUAAAGUUGUGUGAAUUUCAGCCAAUGACAGGAUAGCGUAGAACCUAUACUGGUAACUUAUCAAAACAGAAACUAUUAUUGUAAAUGGGGAUGUGAUGUGUUGUAAUACUUCACAAAGAGCACACAGUAUAACAGGACUUUUGUUGAACGUUACACAAUUUGUACUUGUCCAGCAUCUGAAAAAAAUGUCAGUGGCUUGCCAUUACUAAAGAUGAACCUUUUUUAUUUUUAUUUUUUUCUUCAUGGUCUGGUGUUAAGAUUUGUAUUUUUGUGGUUAAAAAAAAAAGGGGGGGGGCUGGGGUCCCCAGCCAUUAAUACAGGGGAUGAGUGUACUACUUUGAACAGGAGACCUGUUCUGCAUGAAGCUCAAUAAGGGAUUUGAAUCAUAAAGAGCAGAUUUUUCAGAGCACAUUUGGGUGAAUUCAGAGCCUAGAGCCUGAAGGCAGUAUUUCCGUUAAGAUAAAUUCAGGUUUUGGCCCUGUCUGAGAUGCUGUUGUGAUAAGUGCAAAUUGCCAUCUUUAGUAAAAAUGCAGUUAUACUUAUAAGUCCUGUUGUAGAAAUUGUCUAAGCCGCACAUUGUUUUUUUAUGUAAUGCCAACCUUUUGUCAAAAUCUAGUAUUUAAAACUGAAUUCCAGGCAAACCGCUAAAUACGCAGGUGGUAUACAUGAAGGUAAGCCAAAGAUUAAUCUUUCUGUCCAUCCAGUCCUGAGAUCUACACACCCAGCACAGUUCUGCCUGGUAGGGCCGAACUGUGGUUUUUUUUUUUUUUCUCUUCUCUACUGCAGUUAAAGCCGAAUUAAACCCUCCCAACCUUUUGCUGCCAAAGACUGUUCUAUCUUUGCAUGUAUUUAGAUCUGCAAUUGCCAUUGUGUUCAGCUAUGGUCCCAGCCUUGGAGGGUUUGAAAGUUCAGUGAGAGCUAACCUAAACACACUGGCAACUUUGAGAGCUAUCACCAGAGGCAUGCCUUUAAAUGCAGAAUACACUAAUAAGCUGAAUGUAAAUGGAAACGCUACAGAUCAAAGUGUUGGUAUGGUUUUCCUUAAGGAGUUAAUCAUCUUUAUUGGAUAUUUCUGACUUUUGUCAUCGUAUACACUUUCAUUUUAGAUAUCAACAUUGUAAUCAAACAAUAGUUAUUAUUUUGACAAUCCAAUUUAAGCCUUCUUGAAAGGUCCCCUUCCAAGUUGUGAGUGCUGCAAAUCUGCUGGCUGUUUCCUAAACUUCCUGCAUGCUUUGCAGCUUCUCUGCCUUUUACUUUUAAUUUAGAAGUAAAAUAUCCCAUGCUAGUUUGUCACCUGCAGUAAUUCCUAUACUGACUCUGCCUCCUGCUCUCAGCACCUCUGUAGUUCAGAAGGCAGACUCUGUGAAAUAUGUGACACAGCAGUGCACAUUGCACAGAAUAAAGGGUUAUUUUAAAAGAGCAAAGUGUUCAGUUCAUCCAGUUCCGUUAUUUUUAGCGCGAUCAGUGCAGUGUAUUUGGAAAUAACAAGCAUUGUAAGAUAAAUUAUACCUAUAGUAUUUUAUACUUGUGAAAUUUCUGUAUUUUACCAAAGUAUCUAAGGAA